This 670-nucleotide ribosomal RNA is filed under the name Cortinarius sp. MLB-2010f. RNAcentral describes it as "eukaryotic LSU rRNA". It matches the Rfam family "Eukaryotic large subunit ribosomal RNA", at positions 1 to 653 of the family's 3401-position model. The record is from RNAcentral. Lineage: Eukaryota; Fungi; Basidiomycota; Agaricomycetes; Agaricales; Cortinariaceae.
GUGACCUCAAAUCAGGUAGGACUACCCGCUGAACUUAAGCAUAUCAAUAAGCGGAGGAAAAGAAACUAACAAGGAUUCCCCUAGUAACUGCGAGUGAAGCGGGAAAAGCUCAAAUUUAAAAUCUGGCAGUCUUUGGCUGUCCGAGUUGUAAUCUAGAGAAGUGUUAUCCGCGCUGGACCGUGUACAAGUCUCCUGGAAUGGAGCGUCAUAGAGGGUGAGAAUCCCGUCUUUGACACGGACUACCAGGGCUUUGUGAUGCGCUCUCAAAGAGUCGAGUUGUUUGGGAAUGCAGCUCAAAAUGGGUGGUAAAUUCCAUCUAAAGCUAAAUAUUGGCGAGAGACCGAUAGCGAACAAGUACCGUGAGGGAAAGAUGAAAAGAACUUUGGAAAGAGAGUUAAACAGUACGUGAAAUUGCUGAAAGGGAAACGCUUGAAGUCAGUCGCGUCGUCCAGGGAUCAACCUUGCUUUUGCUUGGUGCACUUUCUGGUUGACGGGUCAGCAUCAAUUUUGACCAUUGGAAAAAGAUUAAGGGAAUGUGACAUCUUUGGAUGUGUUAUAGCCCUUGGUUGUAUACGAUGGUUGGGAUUGAGGAACUCAGCACGCCGCAAGGCCGGGUUUUUAACCACGUACGUGCUUAGGAUGUUGGCAUAAUGGCUUUAAUCGACCCGUC